AUCCCUGUGUACUUGUGCUCUUUUGAAGUAAAUGGUUCAGAACUGUGAAGUUAAUUCCUAGCAGAUCACUGUCUGAGGUGAUCACAUUGAAACGAUUCAGAAAGAAACUAUUAAACUGCCUUCAAGUUAAAUUUAAAUAGGCAGUAUCAAAGGCACAAGGGGAAGGUGGUAAGGACUGGUUCAAGGAAAAUGGGAGUCAUUUCUGCAACUGAAGGCAUGUCUCAUGGAGGUUGAUGGUCCACCAUGGUCUGGAAGAGGGAAUACACUUUGGAUAGUGUUCCAGCAUGGGAUAGAUUGGUUUCCUGAAGCACAUCCUUUCUCCCAGCAUUUCCACGCAAAUCCAUAAACAGAUCAACAUGAGUUCCUGAUGACAGCUGACUCACACAUACUGUAAACCAAGAAAUAUCAAGUCAAAUGAUGUUUAGCAGCAAAGUAACUAAAACAUAUAGCAAUUAAAUAUUGACACGACUUUUUCA
Molecule: long non-coding RNA, 476 nt
Organism: Numida meleagris (helmeted guineafowl)
Lineage: Eukaryota; Metazoa; Chordata; Aves; Galliformes; Numididae
Exons: 6
Source: RefSeq, a predicted model, not a curated record